RNAcentral lists this ribosomal RNA (497 nucleotides) under uncultured bacterium. RNAcentral describes it as "partial 16S ribosomal RNA". It matches the Rfam family "Bacterial small subunit ribosomal RNA", at positions 28 to 507 of the family's 1533-position model. The record is from RNAcentral.
GAUGAACGCUGGCGGCGUGCCUAAUACAUGCAAGUCGAGCGAACAGAUGAGGAUCUUUGUCCUCUGAGUUUAUAGCCGGACGGGGGAGUAACACGUGGUUAACAUACCUAUAAGACUGGGGUAACUUUGCGAAACAGGAGCUAAUACCGGAUAAUAUAUUGAACUUCGUGGGUCAAUAGUGAAAAAGGCUUUUUCGUUGACUUAUAGAUGGAUCCGCGCCGCAUUAGCUAGUUGGUAAGGGAACGGCUUACCAAGGCAACGACGCGUAGCCGACCUGAGAGGGUGAUCGGCCACACUGGAACUGAGACACGGCCCAGACUCCGACGGGAGGCAGCAGUAGGGAAUCUUCCGCAAUGGGCGAAAGCCUGACGGAGCAACGCCGCGUGAGUGAUGAAGGUCUUCGGAUCGUAAAACUCUGUUAUUAGGGAAGAACAAAUGCGUAAGUACCUGUGCACGUCUUGACGGUACCUAAUCAGAAAGCCACGGCUAACUACGUG